UACGGAGGGGGCUAGCGUUGUUCGGAAUUACUGGGCGUAAAGCGCACGUAGGCGGAUUGGAAAGUCAGAGGUGAAAUCCCGGGGCUCAACCCCGGAACGGCCUUUGAAACUCCUGGUCUUGAGGUCGAGAGAGGUGAGUGGAAUUCCGAGUGUAGAGGUGAAAGUCGUAGAUAUUAGGAAGAACACCAGUGGCGAAGGCGGCUCACUGGCACGAUACUGACGCUGAGGUGCGAAAGCGUGGGGAGCAAACAGG
Molecule: ribosomal RNA, 253 nt
Filed under: uncultured bacterium
Lineage: Bacteria
Description: partial 16S ribosomal RNA
Rfam family: Bacterial small subunit ribosomal RNA
Source: RNAcentral